Molecule: ribosomal RNA, 810 nt
Filed under: uncultured bacterium
Lineage: Bacteria
Description: bacterial SSU rRNA
Rfam family: Bacterial small subunit ribosomal RNA
Source: RNAcentral
AGAGUUUGAUCCUGGCUCAGAAUCAACGCUGGCGGCGUGCCUCAGACAUGCAAGUCGAACGCGAAAGUCCCCUUCGGGGGAUAAGUAGAGUGGCGCACGGGUGAGUAACACGUAGGUAAUCUACCUUCGGGUGGGGAAUAACCCAGGGAAACUUGGGCUAAUACCGCAUAAUGCAGCGGCACCACAUGGUGACAGUUGUUAAAGCGGGGGAUCUUCGGAUCUCGCGCCUGAAGAGGAGCCUGCGGCAGAUUAGCUAGUUGGUAAGGUAACGGCUUACCAAGGCGACGAUCUGUAGCCGGCCUGAGAGGGCGGUCGGCCACACUGACACUGACAUACGGGUCAGACUCCUACGGGAGGCAGCAGUCGGGAAUUUUGGGCAAUGGGCGAAAGCCUGACCCAGCAACGCCGCGUGAAGGAUGAAAUCCCUCGGGAUGUAAACUUCGCAAGAAUGGGAAGAAUUAGUAGGGGUUAAUACCCCCUAUGAUGACGGUACCAUUUGUAAGCUCCGGCUAACUCCGUGCCAGCAGCCGCGGUAAUACGGGGGGAGCAAGCGUUGUUCGGAUUUACUGGGCGUAAAGGGCGCGUAGGCGGCCAGCACAAGUCGGUUGUGAAAUCUCCGGGCUUAACUCGGAAAGGUCAACCGAUACUGUGCGGCUAGAGUGCGGAAGGGGCAACUGGAAUUCUCGGUGUAGCGGUGAAAUGCGUAGAUAUCGAGAGGAACACCUGCGGCGAAGGCGGGUUGCUGGGCCGACACUGACGCUGAUGCGCGAAAGCCAGGGGAGCGAACGGGAUUAGAUACCCUAGUAGUCC